CUCAGAUACUGUGUUCUCUGAGUUCUUACAUGAUUCUGAAUGUCCUUUUUAUUACCUUUGUACUUUCAGACUUGGUUGGAUAAACAAUUCAUGUGACACAUUUUCAUUCUCCAGAACUUUGUAGGAUUUAACUUCAAAUAUUGCUGCGAAGAAGUUUCAGGGGAUCCCGAUUUUGUCUUCUGGAUCCAAUCCAGGAUACCAUAUUAUUUCAUGCUAUGUCUGAAGUCCUAAAACAGAGCACAAAGAAGGCUCACUAAGGUAGUAUGACUGUGGCAGGAAGA
This 281-nucleotide long non-coding RNA is filed under the name Papio anubis (olive baboon). Its description in RNAcentral is "lncRNA (ENSPANG00000046680.1)". The record is from RNAcentral. Lineage: Eukaryota; Metazoa; Chordata; Mammalia; Primates; Cercopithecidae.